This 592-nucleotide ribosomal RNA is filed under the name uncultured Alcaligenes sp. RNAcentral's name for it is "partial 16S ribosomal RNA". Lineage: Bacteria; Pseudomonadati; Pseudomonadota; Betaproteobacteria; Burkholderiales; Alcaligenaceae. The record is from RNAcentral.
AAGGAGGUGAUCCAUCCGCACCUUCCGAUACGGCUACCUUGUUACGACUUCACCCCAGUCAUGAAUCCCACCGUGGUAAGCGCCCUCCUUACGGUUAGGCUACCUACUUCUGGUGAAACCCACUCCCAUGGUGUGACGGGCGGUGUGUACAAGACCCGGGAACGUAUUCACCGCGACAUUCUGAUCCGCGAUUACUAGCGAUUCCGACUUCACGCAGUCGAGUUGCAGACUGCGGUCCGGACUACGAUCGGGUUUCUGAGAUUGGCUCCCCCUCGCGGGUUGGCGACCCUCUGUCCCGACCAUUGUAUGACGUGUGAAGCCCUACCCAUAAGGGCCAUGAGGACUUGACGUCAUCCCCACCUUCCUCCGGUUUGUCACCGGCAGUCUCAUUAGAGUGCUCUUGCGUAGCAACUAAUGACAAGGGUUGCGCUCGUUGCGGGACUUAACCCAACAUCUCACGACACGAGCUGACGACAGCCAUGCAGCACCUGUGUUCCGGUUCUCUUGCGAGCACGGCCAAAUCUCUUCGGCUUUCCAGACAUGUCAAGGGUAGGUAAGGUUUUUCGCGUUGCAUCGAAUUAAUCCACAUCAU